GGUAAGUCGGGGCAGUCAGCGGGGGUAAUACGGAAGGUCCGGGAGUUAACCGGAUUUGUUGGGUUUAAAGGGGGCGGAGGCCGGAGAUUAAGCGUGUUGUGAAAUGUAGACGCUCAACGUCUGCACUGCAGCGCGAACUGGUUUCCUUGAGUACGCACAAAGUGGGCGGAAUUCGUGGUGUAGCGGUGAAAUGCUUAGAUAUCACGAAGAACUCCGAUUGCGAAGGCAGCUCACUGGAGCGCAACUGACGCUGAAGCUCGAAAGUGCGGGUAUCGAACAGGAUUAGAUACCCGAGUAGUC
RNAcentral lists this ribosomal RNA (300 nucleotides) under uncultured Halogeometricum sp. Its description in RNAcentral is "bacterial SSU rRNA". It matches the Rfam family "Bacterial small subunit ribosomal RNA", at positions 496 to 795 of the family's 1533-position model. Lineage: Archaea; Methanobacteriati; Methanobacteriota; Halobacteria; Halobacteriales; Haloferacaceae. The record is from RNAcentral.